GAACUUCCCCUUUUCCGUCUAUCGCUUGGAGAACGUGGGGCGGCCUAAUAAGCAAGUCGGGAACAGAUAAGAGCUUGUUCCUUUGNCGUAGCNGCGGACGGGUGAGUAACACGGUGAAUACCCUCCNUAUAAGACCUGGAUAACUUCGGGAAACCGGAGGCUAAUNCCGGAUAACAUANUGAACCGCAUGGUUCAAUAGUGAAAGGCGGCUUUGCUGUCACUUAUAGAUGGAUCCGCGCCGUAUUAGCUAGUUGGUAAGGUAACGGCUUACCAAGGCAACGAUACGUAGCCGACCUGAGAGGGUGAUCGGCCACACUGGAACUGAGACACGGUCCAGACUCCUACGGGAGGCAGCAGUAGGGAAUCUUCCGCAAUGGGCGAAAGCCUGACGGAGCAACGCCGCGUGAGUGAUGAAGGUCUUCGGAUCGUAAAACUCUGUUAUUCAGGGAAGAACAAAUGUGUAAGUAACUGUGCACAUCUUGACGGUACCUGAUCUAGAAAGCCACGGCUAACUACGUGCCAGCAGCCGCGGUAAUACGUAGGUGGCAAGCGUUAUCCGGAAUUAUUGGGCGUAAAGCGCGCGUAGGCGGUUUUUUAAGUCUGAUGUGAAAGCCCACGGCUCAACCGUGGAGGGUCAUUGGAAACUGGAAAACUUGAGUGCAGAAGAGGAAAGUGGAAUUCCAUGUGUAGCGGUGAAAUGCGCAGAGAUAUGGAGGAACACCAGUGGCGAAGGCGACUUUCUGGUCUGUAACUGACGCUGAUGUGCGAAAGCGUGGGGAUCAAACAGGAUUAGAUACCCUGGUAGUCCACGCCGUAAACGAUGAGUGCUAAGUGUUAGGGGGUUUCCGCCCCUUAGUGCUGCAGCUAACGCAUUAAGCACUCCGC
RNAcentral lists this ribosomal RNA (885 nucleotides) under Staphylococcus sp. 2Sp42. RNAcentral's name for it is "bacterial SSU rRNA". It matches the Rfam family "Bacterial small subunit ribosomal RNA", at positions 1 to 872 of the family's 1533-position model. Lineage: Bacteria; Bacillati; Bacillota; Bacilli; Caryophanales; Staphylococcaceae. The record is from RNAcentral.